UCGAACGGUCUUUUCUAUGGAAGCUUGCUUCCACUGAGAAGAUAGUGGCGGACGGGUGAGUAACACGUGGGUAACCUGCCCAUAAGAGGGGGAUAACAUCCGGAAACGGGUGCUAAUACCGCAUAGUUUUCUUGAUCGCAUGAUUGAGAAAGGAAAGACGGCCUUUGUGCUGUCGCUUAUGGAUGGACCCGCGGCGUAUUAGUUAGUUGGUGAGGUAACGGCUCACCAAGACGAUGAUACGUAGCCGACCUGAGAGGGUGAUCGGCCACAUUGGGACUGAGACACGGCCCAAACUCCUACGGGAGGCAGCAGUAGGGAAUCUUCCGCAAUGGACGAAAGUCUGACGGAGCAACGCCGCGUGAGUGAAGAAGGUUUUCGGAUCGUAAAACUCUGUUGUCAGAGAAGAACAAGUCGGAGAGUAACUGCUCCGGCCUUGACGGUAUCUGACCAGAAAGCCACGGCUAACUACGUGCCAGCAGCCGCGGUAAUACGUAGGUGGCAAGCGUUGUCCGGAUUUAUUGGGCGUAAAGCGAGCGCAGGCGGUUCCUUAAGUCUGAUGUGAAAGCCCACGGCUCAACCGUGGAAGGUCAUUGGAAACUGGGGAACUUGAGUGCAGAAGAGGAGAGUGGAAUUCCAUGUGUAGCGGUGAAAUGCGUAGAUAUAUGGAG
This 668-nucleotide ribosomal RNA is filed under the name uncultured Carnobacteriaceae bacterium. RNAcentral describes it as "bacterial SSU rRNA". It matches the Rfam family "Bacterial small subunit ribosomal RNA", at positions 62 to 703 of the family's 1533-position model. Lineage: Bacteria; Bacillati; Bacillota; Bacilli; Lactobacillales; Carnobacteriaceae. The record is from RNAcentral.